This 1153-nucleotide small RNA is filed under the name Pongo abelii (Sumatran orangutan). RNAcentral describes it as "retained intron". Lineage: Eukaryota; Metazoa; Chordata; Mammalia; Primates; Hominidae. The record is from RNAcentral.
GUGCGGCUCGCGGGGCAGCUCGGCAGCAUGGCGUCCGUGGCGCUGAGCGAGGCAGAGAAGGUGUACAUCGUGCACGGCGUCCAGGAAGACCUCCGUGUGGAUGGCCGUGGCUGUGAGGACUACCGAUGUGUUGAAGUGGAAACCGAUGUGGUGUCCAACACCAGUGGGUCUGCCAGGGUCAAGCUGGGUCACACAGACAUCUUGGUGGGAGUAAAAGCAGAAAUGGGGACACCGAAGCUGGAGAAACCAAAUGAAGGCUACUUGGAGUUCUUUGUUGACUGUUCAGCCAGUGCUACCCCUGAAUUUGAAGGUAGAGGAGGUGAUGACCUUGGCACCGAGAUCGCUAACACCCUCUAUCGGAUAUUUAACAAUAAAAGCAGUGUCGACCUAAAGACCCUCUGCAUUAGUCCUCGGGAGCACUGCUGGAUUCUCUAUGUGGAUGUGCUGCUGCUGGAAUGUGGUGGAAAUUUGUUUGAUGCCAUUUCCAUUGCUGUAAAGGCUGCUCUCUUCAAUACAAGGUAAGUCUUCCUGGAAACAGCUCUGCGAACCUGUGGAGAACCAGAGCAGACACUUGUAAUGGAACACUGGGAAAUUUCUAUUGUAGCUCAUAUGUGAAGAUAACAGGGGGUUUUAACAUUGAAAAUGGUGACAUCUAACGUUAAACUCCAGAAAAGAUAGAUUUCGUAAAUUAAAACUACAUAUAUACAUACAUUCUGUAUUUAUUUUUUGUAUUGUUAUUUUUAUAAAUAGACACCUACCAUUUAGAAAAAUAUUAGAAAACUACAGAGAAGCCAAGAAGAGUAGACACCACCUACAGGCCAACUAUCCAAAUACUAUUACUGGGUGAACUCUAUGGGGGCAAGGAUUUUGCCUGUUUUGUACUUGCCUAUAUUCCUAGCACCAUGAACAGUACCUGACACAUAGUAAGUGCUUGCAUAUUGCUUGAUUGUACACGUUUGUUCUAAAAGCAGGGUAACAGGCUUCCCUUUGGUUUAAGAAGAGGAAAUGGCUAUUCCACAUGGUUCAGCUUUCCAAACAGGUUGUGUAGAAGGGACAAGUUGCUAUGCUUUUUUGGAGUUGACAUUUAUUCUGACUGUUUGAUUAUUAACCUUUCCCCCUUUUAUGCUCCAAGUACUUUGAGGAAAAUUUGCAG